This 484-nucleotide ribosomal RNA is filed under the name uncultured bacterium. RNAcentral describes it as "partial 16S ribosomal RNA". It matches the Rfam family "Bacterial small subunit ribosomal RNA", at positions 30 to 507 of the family's 1533-position model. The record is from RNAcentral.
AUUGAACGCUGGCGGCAUGCUUUACACAUGCAAGUCGAACGGCAGCGCGGGCUUCGGCCUGGCGGCGAGUGGCGAACGGGUGAGUAAUACAUCGGAACGUGCCCAGUAGUGGGGGAUAGCUCGGCGAAAGCCGGAUUAAUACCUCAUACGACCUGAGGGUGAAAGCGGGGGAUCUUCGGACCUCCCGCUAUUGGAUCGGCCGAUGGCAGAUUAGCUAGUUGGUGGGGUAAAGGCCUACCAAGGCGACGUUCAUUCGCUGGUCUGAGAGGAGGACCAGCCAAACUGGGACUGGGACAGGGCCCAGCCUCCUACGGGAGGCAGCAGUGGGGAAUUUUGGACAAUGGGCGAAAGCCUGAUCCAGCAAUGCCGCGUGUGUGAUGAAGGCCUUCGGGUUGUAAAGCACUUUUGGCGGGAACGAAAAGGACUGUGCCAAUACCACGGUUCGAUGACGGUACCCGCAGAAUAAGCACCGGCUAACUACGUG